This 447-nucleotide ribosomal RNA is filed under the name Streptococcus mitis. RNAcentral describes it as "bacterial SSU rRNA". It matches the Rfam family "Bacterial small subunit ribosomal RNA", at positions 28 to 465 of the family's 1533-position model. The record is from RNAcentral. Lineage: Bacteria; Bacillati; Bacillota; Bacilli; Lactobacillales; Streptococcaceae.
GACGAACGCUGGCGGCGUGCCUAAUACAUGCAAGUAGAACGCUGAAGGAGGAGCUUGCUUCUCUGGAUGAGUUGCGAGCGGGUGAGUAACGCGUAGGUAACCUGCCUGGUAGCGGGGGAUAACUAUUGGAAACGAUAGCUAAUACCGCAUAAGAGUAGAUGUUGCAUGACAUUUGCUUAAAAGGUGCAAUUGCAUCACUACCAGAUGGACCUGCGUUGUAUUAGCUAGUUGGUGAGGUAACGGCUCACCAAGGCGACGAUACAUAGCCGACCUGAGAGGGUGAUCGGCCACACUGGGACUGAGACACGGCCCAGACUCCUACGGGAGGCAGCAGUAGGGAAUCUUCGGCAAUGGACGGAAGUCUGACCGAGCAACGCCGCGUGAGUGAAGAAGGUUUUCGGAUCGUAAAGCUCUGUUGUAAGAGAAGAAACGAGUGUGAGAAGUGGA